AUCGUCACUGAACAGACAUCGUGCCGUGGUUUCGUGUAAAUAUAAUCGUGUAUGUCUGACUUUCCGUUACAGGUGUAGCAAAAAAUAGAGUUCGAUACACGCGCGAAAGUUGGCAAUGCCUAUCUCGCGUGAAUGCGCCACACUCGCCCUUCAACUCGUCUACGGGUUCGUGCUGCGCCUUCACGCUUGUGCGGGCAUUGCCACCUUCGCGCACUAGUAUCGAAAAACAUUAUUUCCCACAUGUUUAUUUGGACCGACUUACGGUUACCGAACGUAAAAAAAUCGAUUAAAGGAUUACGAAACAAAAACAACUGAAGACCGAAAGUAGAAACAACAUACGUAAGAUUGAAUUAUUAAAAAAGGCAGUAAAUUGAAAGUGUAGGAAGAAAUGCUUAACGCAUCAAGCUAUCCCGCAGUCGACGAACAAAGAGGCUGCGAGGGUCGCGGAGAGAAGCUUGAAGCCUCGGCUGAAACUUCCCCACCGUCAGAGUGGCCCCCAGAGAUUUGGCAAUGCCGUUCGUUAGCCUCACGGACGGUUGCGCUGUUGCCAAGUCGCCGAAGUAGAGGAGGGGCCAUGGCUACGGGAAGGCACUCGCAUCUAUUAUGUAUAACAGACCCUAGCGUGGGCGCCAUCGUUAUUAGAAAUCCAUCUGACGCCUCCGCACUAAACGGGACAUGAGGGGUCAGGUAAAUCGACACUUAUGUCUACACCUACACGUUACAUGUAUACUUAAUAAAGCCUUUCUGCUGUAGAAUGAAAAGAACCGGAAAAGCAGGCUCGCAUAACCUCGGCAGUAUAUUCAAUGUUCUCUAAUGAUUUUUUUUUACGCGAUAUAAUUUCAUAAAAAUAUGGAUUGUUCAACGACUCGUUUUUAGCGAGGUAUCCGCACACCUCUACGCAUACGUGCGUAAUAAUGCCUACUAAUAAAAGUCAGAAUACACCGAAGGCCAGUGUCGUCUCACGGAAGAAACGAUGCGAACAUAUAAAGUAGUUGUUUCAGUGACGUCUAUUGUAUGUAUAACACAGCUAGAUAAAAUAUUUCGACCUACACAUAUACCAGGUUGUUGAAACUAACAAUUUGAAAAUGUUCUUGACACAAUCAACACUAUGCAGGUUUAUAACAGUAAUAUAUAAGCAAGGCCUCAAGUGAGAAGGAGAAAUAAACAGUAAUGAGACAUUAA
This 1182-nucleotide long non-coding RNA is filed under the name Neodiprion pinetum (white pine sawfly). RNAcentral describes it as "uncharacterized LOC124219282, transcript variant X1". The record is from RNAcentral. Lineage: Eukaryota; Metazoa; Arthropoda; Insecta; Hymenoptera; Diprionidae.